GUUGAAACAUCAAUUCUCGUACGAUCACCAAAGUUAAGCGACGUCGAGCCUGGUUAAUAUCAAGAUGGGUGACCGUUUGGGAAUACCAUCUGCUGUA
Molecule: non-coding RNA, 97 nt
Organism: Acanthosepion pharaonis
Lineage: Eukaryota; Metazoa; Mollusca; Cephalopoda; Sepiida; Sepiidae
Source: the annotation of a GenBank genome assembly